Anas platyrhynchos (mallard) is the source of this 6907-nucleotide non-coding RNA. Lineage: Eukaryota; Metazoa; Chordata; Aves; Anseriformes; Anatidae. The record is from RefSeq and is a predicted model, not a curated record.
AUCCUGACUCAGAUUAAGGUUCUAAUUGCUGUGGCAAGAUUCCUGUGAAAUGUUUCCCUAGUCUGUGGGCUGUUUCUUCAGGAAAAACUUGUGAAGAGAACUUGCAAAGACAAGCUAGAAAUGGAUUAAAGGAGCAGGGGAAAAGUCAGAUCCAGGUACAGAUUAAAGUAAUAUAGGAGCAUGUGGUGAUCACAAGCAGUCUUGACAUAAGAGUUGUUAAUAAAAAUGUUCCUUUAGUUCCAGCUGAGUCAGUCUUAUAACUGCUGUCUUCAAGGGUCACAUAGCAAGCUACAGAAGCUUAGCUGUGAGAAGUCAUUUCUGUGAAGAUGCGUGCAAGAUACUGAACCGUAUCAUGUACUGAACUCGAAUAUGCAAGUUUUCAAAUAAGUUUUAAAUGGUGUGAAGUUAGAAUCAGUUUUACAAGUGAUAACAGAAAAAUUUAGAUGAGGCAAUUGUGAGACAAAUGUGUCUAAAGAGCAAGACAGUCCAAAGCUAGUUUUUGAAAACAAAACAAAGCACCUCUUUGAAAUGCAGCAAAAAACUUGUAUUUAACUACAAAAGCAAAUUAACUGUGGCUAAAUCAAAGAAAGAGAUCCAGCCGAAGCUUUUUUUUUUUAACUGAAGAGCUAAAUUGUGGAAGGGAACCUCUUCAAUUUAUUUCAGAAUAUGCACAUUGUUAUUCUGCCCCAUUACUAUGACGGACUGACUGGGAAGUUAGAUGAUACUACUGAUUUAGGCAUGCCCUUAAACCAGGGAGGCAGGGCAGGAGUGUUCCAGUACAUCAUGAGUGGUACUUCAAGAUCAGUUAAUCUUAAAGGUUAUGGUCAAAGCUGUUGCCGUUCUUCUCUUUUCUGCUUUGCAAUGUUACAGAAUACUUCUUGUGUAGGUAACACAUGCUGGUGGCUUGUGUUGUUGGUUAUACUGGUGGAGGAUUAAAAAUCUCUUACAGAAUGUUUCUUUUUAGCUUUCUAUAUAAAUGACACUUAGUUCCAUAGCUUACUAUUUUAUUCUGUGGCUAUUUCCAGAUAAGCAUUUUAACAAGCAUCUGAUUUGUAACAAAUUUCUUUUAUGGUGUGGAAAAAAAAAGUAGGAGGUGCUACGUCAAAAAGCUUUAUAGGCAUUGGAAAAUACUAUUCUGAAACUUUACAUCACAAUUUCUAUUUGAGCUAUAGCUUUUCUGAAACAUCUUUCCAGUUAACUAACUUAUUUUCGUAACAAACAGCAUAUGUAUUCUACUUUCCUGUUUACUUCUGUUGUGUGCUUUGUGUCUUGUAUCUUUUUGUAUUCAUCUGUAGGGAAAUAACACACAGUUUUGGGUGAUGGAAGCACUAGUAAUAUAUGUGCUAGCUUAAAAAAACCUCACAGCUUACUUGUCCUUCAGUUUGGCUGAGCAGAGCAUCUUUUGAGAAAGAUGCAGGUGGGGAGCAUAUCAAGCUAUGCCUACAAAUUUCAAUGCUUAUUAGGCUUAAAGUUUAGAAAUGGAGAGAAAUGUUUUGGCUCAUCUUGUUUGCUUUUGGUAGUACUUUCUGUUUCAGCUUGUCCUAAUUAUCUCAGGGGUGGGAAUUAGACAAGGAAGUUACCUUCCUCAUGAAUGUCAUUCACAAUCUAGUUUUUUUUUAUUAUUAUCUUUAUUAUUUUUGGUAUUAAUAACCUGAAAUUGAGCCUGGAAGUCUGUUUGUUUAAUGUUGUGCCUUACUCCUGGUAAGGUCUUCAGUAAUAGUCAUGGAUAAUCUGCUUACUAAUGGCACAUUUCUAAAUACUUAGAAGAUUAAAUUACAGAUGUUCUGCUGAAGUUUUAGGUCAAAGCUCUGAGAUCACCAGGGUUUUUUUGUUAGCUUUCAUUAAAAGAAAAUGAAUCUAUGUGGCUUUACAGACAUGAACACUCACUUCACAUAGGUGAGGUAGAUAAGAAGUGCUUUCCACGUUUUACAGAUGGGGAAAUCUGAGCAAUUAACUGACUUGCCUGAAGUCAUACGGCCAGUCAGUGGCAGAGCCAAGAAUGGGACCUGAGCUAUUUCCAGUCCUGUGCUCUAACCACUGCACAGCAUCCCUCCCUUAGGUAAUUUUCUGACAUGAUGAUGUUUGUAUUUGGUGUAUGUGGUGACUUUGAGAAGAGUAUGGAACCAGAUGCAGAUGGACAAGAGUCAGGUAAAGAUUGUGACUUCCAUGCAGCAACUCUUAGAUUUGUAAUAAAAAGAUAAACUGUUACAGAGGCAUUAUAUUUGGGUUGCUGCCUUUCAUUGUCGUCCUGAAAAAAUGUUAAAGCUAAUAACAAGGUUAAAAACUCCCAAAGAAUAGGUUCUGAAUCGCAUGUUUUCAGUUUUAUUUUUUUCAAAUUGUGAGAGAUACCCCUGGAAAACCUUUGUCAUUCUUAAUGUCAGGUAAGAUACUUCUUGACAGAUAACUUAAAGACAGAAGUUGGCCAAAUUUAGAUUACUUUUUUUUUUUUUUUUUAAAUGCUCUUGAAUCACUAAUGCCUUCAGAUAGCCUGAAGGCGCAGAGCGGUUCCCUUGACACAAGCAGAUGCCAUGUGUAUUCAAGGAUGAAAUUAGGCUCUAGAAAUGUUUAGGUGUUGCUGUCAGGAGAGACAGCAAUUUUUUUUUUUAAUUUGAAUAUGCUGGGAUGUGAAUUACCCCAACCUAAUUAAUUUUCAAUUACCUUUGUCACCUGUGUCACAGCAUUGGCAGGUUUUGAGACUUGAACACGCCAGCUAGAGCUAGAAUGAGACAGACCAGCAGAGAGUCUAAAACCAGGUUACAUUUCUGACAAAAUCCUGAUAAUAUAAAAUUGCAUUGCGUGGUCUUCCUAGCCAAAACACGAGUUUUUAUGCAGUCUCGGCACUUGGGAACAGAAGGUGGUAUUUAACAGUUUCCCUAUUUAGUAUAUGUUUAAUUUCAGUGGAUAGCAGAUACAAACAAAUAUUGUAAACCAAUAUUUUAAAAAAAAAAGCUAAAAAGAGUAAAGGAAGUUUUUAUCAAAGAUGUUUAUUGGGAUUGUCCAGAGACCACUCCAGCAGUAUUUGUUCUGGUAUACUUGCCAGUUACCAAUUUGUACCUAAAUUUAAGAAGCACAACAAAUGUAUCAGUGUGGAAAUAAUCAGUUUGCUCUAUCUAAUGGGAAUUUUUCCAGUUGCAAGGAGAAACAAUAGAAUCAGAACAAUGUGAAGCAGCAACAGAACAAGCAAGCAGGCAUUGAUUACAGAAUAAUCUCAUCUGUUUUAUUGUCAGAUCUGUUUGUUCUGCACAUUCCGAAAUAGCAUUCAUAACAGACAGCAGUUAUAAGUAUCUGCAAGCAAGGCUGCAGUUUCAGGUGACUGGCACAUCCACAAGUACUUUAGGUGGUAAUAUGGUUGUCUAAAACAGGUGUAAGACAUUUGAAGGCUUUGUAUUGUUGGUGUAUAUAACAAAUACAAUAUUAGCUUAUGGUGCUUAUCCUUUACUCACUGUUGGGCACUGUGUUUUUGAUAACAAUGAUUUAUAAAAAGGCCUUUGAAGGUGCUUGUUCUUGUGAUGUAGCCAGGCACUCCAGGAGAGAAGUCAAGUCUUACUAAGUUGUCAAGCUUACAGAAAAUGAAAGUGUGUAUUAAGCCUGCAAAAAAUAAUUCAAUGAUUCAAAGACUUCAUUUUCUUUAGCACCUACAUGACUGAAAGCUACAUGAUACCAGGCUAUUUAGGAUUUAUAGUUAAGAAUCGUGAAGGUCAGAUUUGGGCAGAGAAAAUAACUUAGCUUGAAGCUGCUGCCCUACAUCACUGUAGCAUUUGCAAGAGUUGUGGGUAAGCUGUAGUCUAACUAGGUUUAAAAGAAAAAUGUGCCAAAACAGUGAAUCACUCAAGAAAUCUCUUACAACUAUUACUCCAACAUUUCUGUAUGUGAUUUUGUCUAGAAGAGCAAGCUGCAGUUCUAGGUAAUGUGAUAAAACAGUCAUACACAGGGCUAGAUGCAGUUCUUGCUGAUCUCACCAGGGAGUUCUUGAGUUUUCCACCAAGGAUUCGUGUACUUUGAAGCCAGACAGCUAAGCCUCACUUCUUUUUGCCAGUAAGUUAUUUCAUUCUAGCUGUGUUCCCUUUUCUUUUUAUAUGCUGGAUCCUGGAAUGCUGUAUGCAUCCUGAAGAAACCUCAAAACCCUUCUGUGUCUAGGAAGUCACUCACACAGGAUCUAUAUUUCCCUUAUUCCCACUGCUGUCUGUUGGUUUUUAGUAAGGAGCUGUCUCUUUGACACUGCUCCUGGCUGUUGUCCCUUGAAGCAGAGCAGGUUUUUGGUUGCUCGCAGCUAAUGGCUGUUGGCAGUAAGGAAUAGGCUUCUGCCCCGUGUGCCUACCUCAGUGCAGGUAAAGCUCUCGAGAAUUACAUGAUGCCCAGUAACAAGAAAUCCAUAAACAAAGUUUAAAGAUCAGGAGAUGCAAAAGUGCAGGUUAACAGCUCCAGUGUUGGGGUCUGGGAGACGUUCUUUAUUUAUUUUGUUGAAUCCAGCCGUAGAAUUGACUCCUUUCUUCCCAUCUGGGCUCUGUUGUGGUAGGAGGCAGUCACUGCUCUGGAGAAUUUUUUGGAAGCAUCAGGAGGGCAUGUCUGAGGCAGGCAAAAGCUGGUUGUGUUUAAAGAGAAGUAACGUACUAAUUCUCCAUAUAAAACUAUGGAAGAAGCACACGGUAUAAGACCAAGAUGGUAUUCAUUCAUUUUAAAAUUACAUGAGUGGCUAAUACCUGUAGUCUUUCUCUCAAGCAGGGAGUAGAUAGCUCUGGACAACUUGAAAAUUAGGUAAUACUAGUUAGGUCAUCCCAAAUUUAGAGAUGUCCAGGAGAAGACUAUACUUCCUGGACUACUCUGAAUUCUUACUCUCCUAUCCCUAGGAAGUAACAUAUAACUAAAUCCAUCUCCCUUUUCUUCUUUCUCUUGCUCUCUGGAAUUGGACAGAUCCUUUUUCUGCUACUGUUGAUAAUGUUGAUGAUGCCAUUCCAAACCUAAAUCCUUUCCUUACAAAAACUAACGAUGCUGCUCAUCUGUCUGUGUCUUCUGAUGUUUCUACUUUCACCAGUAGGACACCCACACAUGAAAUGUUUGUUGACUCUUUUUGUGGUCCUCAAGCUUACCCUAAUGCUUCUCAUUUCCGCAAUGAGCCUUCUUCUGUAGCUGGUCUAUUUGGAGGUAGGUAAUGGGAUUCAGCCUUACCACGAGCACGGAAAUGUGAAUGUGUUGUGUGCCUAGAGCUAGUAGGUAUAUCAUUGGCUACAGAAGUGUGUUAUUACUUUGCCUCCAACUUUGAUUCAUGUAGUAGUGCUUAUGCUAGAUGUGUUGUCACAAGUGAUUUAUCUAUUUUCAGCUCGUGCUAAGUAUUUAGUAUGAGAAAUGAGUAUCUCCCCAUUUCAGGAUUUCCUGUAGUUCCCAUGGUGUCGCACACCACAUGAAAGGCUUCCACAUUUUAAAUACCUUCUCAUCUAACUCAGCCUCACUGUUUUGAAGACAAAGAGACUGGGAUGUUGCUGCUUCUGCCACUUCGGUUGAUAUCCUGCUCAUAAGCAGUGCACUAAACUAGAACAAAGGUUUGCAACAAAACAUGCAAGAGGUCUUUGCUGCAUUAAAUUACCAGUCUAAUCACUUGGGCAGCUGUGUAGUGUCAGCAUAGUGACUUGGCACUGAUGCUAUUUCAGGAAUACCUUGCUGACAGUUGUUAACCAGGCUGUGGACUUUGACAGAUAAUCCAUCUAAACCAGGCAGAAAGAGUGUUCACAUUGCUGCAAUGCCAGGUUUAGGAAUACCUUCAGUGAAUGUUUUGUGGGAGAGUUAAUUCUUAAGCACAUAAAGUUACGUUUUGUUUUACUGUCUUUAAAUAGAAACCAACUGGAGUCAUUUAAUGAAAGGUUAAAUCCUCCAUGUCACUGUUUCCUUUGUUCCAUAUCCAAAAAAUAGAAUAAUUAGUUCCUGUCAAGUCUUGUUUUACUCUCUUAAAGGAGCUCUGUCUGGCCUUUGUACCUUUCCCAGUGUGUAGGUUAGACAACGUGCCCUGGACUGAUGGUUCCUACCAAGAGUAGGAUUAGAUCUUCUCAGAGCCUGACUCAAAGGAGUCCCAUGUAACGUUUUGUCUUCUUGCUUAGCUUUACGUAGCUUGAAACAUCCUAAAACUGUGAGAGCAGGAGGUUUAGCUUGUACCAGCUAAGCCCAUUUUCUUAAAGAAAAAUCAGAGCUAUUUGAAGUCACAUUUUUUAUUGGUACAGGCACGAUUUUAAGAGUUGCAGGACAUCCCAUCAAAGGAAUUCCUAUCUGCAGUUCAGAGUCUCUGAAAUGGCUUGUUACAACCUGACUGGUAUACUUGUCACAAAGAUACUCAUUUUGGUUUGUUAUUUACCCUCUAUCCUCUCCCACAUUACUGCUGCCCUUGUGUUGCUGUAUGCUGGUCAAACUUUUCCUUUGGUUUGUUUUUAAUAUAAGCUGUAUAAUUUCUUAGCAGUGGAUGCCUUUGACUUGUAUGUUCCUUUAAAACAAAUAAGAAGAAAAGGUGAUCCAAAUCAGUCUAGUCUGUGAAGUUUCUGUACAAGGAUAGCACCACAUAGUUACUAAUAGUUAGGUGAAAGCUCACUUAUUUCAGGAGAACAGUAAGAUUGAAAUGAGCUGUCACAGCAAACAACAUGAAAUCUGACACAUCAGUUCAUGGAGAUGUUUUAUUACUAAAUUAUUUGUCACCCUUUCCUUUUAUUUCUCUGUAUCAUCAAAUUUUCUGUUCUCUAACAGAAAAGUUGGUUUUCACGCUGGCAUUGCAUCCCUUGGUGCUUCUCACACAAAAGGAAUAACUACUUCUGUAACUGCCUGAAUGUCGAGAUGUAGAGGCACACAUGUAUGCACGGGCUUGCAUGUGUGGUAUAUGUAACAUCAGAAAUGUGAGUUUAGAAACAGCUCAGCACUCACUUUCAUAUUA